AAAAACAAAAAAAAAAUAUAUAUAUAUAUAUAUAUAGAAAAAGAUACAAAUACAUGUGAAAGUUUGAAACAAUCUAUUCAAUGAAAAAAUUAUACAGUAAACUUAUUAUGUUUUAAAAUUUACCAAUUUAAAAUUGAAAACAAAAUAUUUAUAUAAAAAUAAAUAAAAACAAAAACCUGCGCAGUUAUGCGGGUCGAGAUCUAUUAUCUAUCAUUAUUUGUUUUUAUGAGGAAAAACAAACAUGCAGCAAAAUAAUACGAUGAUUUUGGUUUAGCUGGCAGUGCUCCAUUUUUUUGUUUUAUUACUUCACCUUGUUUUUUGUUUCUUGGCAAUAUCCGCUUUGAUCGCUAAACUGUAGAUCAAAAAAUCAUAACCAAACCUCACAACUCUAUACAAAAGUAUUUACAAAUGGUUAGCUUACUGGCAACGAAAAACUUUAGCAGGAUAGACAUAGUUGAUAGUUCUAGCAAAUUUUGACAGCUACCUGAGAUAUACAAAUGCAUAUAUACAUAUAAUGCACACUGGAGAUUGCACACACACACACAUAUAUGUAGUUUAUACUAACACUCAAGGCUCAACAAGUAGACAUAGAGCCAUGCUAUUCUUGCUUGGAUUUUAGUUGCAUUACAUUAUCCUCUUCAUCCGUCUUUUUAUAUCUUUUAAAUUUUAAAUUAUGUAUAUCUCUUUCUGUUAUUUAUAUUAGGUUUCAAGUAUAUAAAUAUUAGGUUCUGAUCGUGAUGUCUUUCUUAUCUUUCAAGGAGUAUACAAAUUGAUUGAUGGCAAAGUAACUAUUUUACUGUUUCAGGUAUAUUGUAAAAAGAAUGACUUGAAAGUAUUUCGAAAAGACUGAUAUCAUCUACAAGCUUAUCCUUGUAGCAGUGAUAGAUAAUUUAACUAUAAAAAUAUUUAAAUUCUUUUAAAUCUUUUUGAACUGGUAUGAACAAUAUUCAUACUCUAGAUCAAAUAUUAAAUUGUUCUCGUCUUUAUAAUAACUUUCGUUUGAAUUUGUAAGUAUUAAUAUGAAUAACACUUUUGAUCAAAUCUUACCUUUCUUAUCUUUUACUGUAAGCAGUUUAGUGUUUGAAGAAUAUUUACCCAAAAUCAUAACUAACCAGAGAAUGAUUAGUUUGUAGAACAAAAACAAAAGAAAAAAUAUGAUAGUUUGAAGAACUUAAAUAGUUUUCAAUUUAAAAUGAAUGGUGGGCAAUAUUUCCUUUUGCAUUUAUAUUAAGAAAGCCAGUUACAAUGGUAUAAAUAAAGCCGAAAUACAUAAAUGAAACAGCUAGUUCGGUAGUGUGCGGUGAAGUGGAGUGAGUAAGAAGUAAGAGUGAGUUGUAGUUGUAGUGUUGAAGUGUGGUGAGGUGUUGUGUUAUGUCUAUCCACUCCUUUUGGACAAAAACUUCUUUUUAUAAAUAAUGUCCUCAAGCCCCACCACCACUCUCUCCUCUUCCUCUUAAUAUAAAAACACCCUCUACUAUUUGGUAUGCCACUCAUUUUCUCACCUUAUUAUCAUUUUAAAAGAUAUAUUUUCAAGAACUUUCCACCUCUUUCCUUGGGCAUACAUGUAUGUAUAUGUUUGUUCGUGUGUAGAUUUUUUAGUCAUCUUUUUUUCUUUAAAGUAGAAAUCAAUACUAAUUUUUGAACUUAUGGUUGUUAUAAGUAAACAGAAACGCACUAACGAAUGGAGAAUCAAUAGAUAAAACUGAAAUCAUGAAAUUGUGUGAUGCUUUUGGGAGUUAAGCGAUUGAUUUAACAUGGUUCAAAUAUAGUAGUCUCUCUAGAGUUCACCAUUUAGUUAUGCAAUACUAUAUGAGUUACGCCCGAUCUUAAUUUAUUCUUUGAUUAAACCUAUUGCAUCUUAGUAAAAAAACUAGCUUCAAAGCUUUAUGAUUCUUACAAACCAAGCGAUAGUAGCUUAGAUGGCUUUAUAUUUUUUAAGUUCUAAUUUAUCUCUGUCUUAUAGUUAAUAAAUAAUUUUAUAUUGAGAACACUUUUAAGAGCCUAUAAACUAGAAAAAAAAAUUGUAACUGGGAGUUGAGAGGAAAACAACAACCUGCAAGUGAAGUAAAGCAAGCUAAAGAGUGGGUUGGAUCCGGUUUUGUAGAAACAAGAUCUUUUGGUUAAUCCUAACUUGGAAGCUAUGUCACAUGUAUGCCAGGCUCAUUCACACCCACCAAUUAUAAUUGGAUAAACUAAUUUUGAAAUAAUAAAAACGGAGUUGGCUAAUGUUUAGUAUAAGUGUUCAAAUAAACAGUUGUAUGUAUGAAAACGUAAUUUUGGCAUUCUACAUCGUUCAAUUAAACUAAAUCUUACAACGUGAAACAUAUAUGCUCAGUCCAUCAAGUCCUCUAGAUCGUCUAAAUUAUUCACUGUGCCUGAGAAAUUUAAACGCUAAAUGAUACUUCACUACUAAUAUAUAUUUGUGUAAACCUUUAUUUUAGAAUAUUGGUUGGAAUGAGUUGUGUAAUUGGUGGAAGAUACAACUAAAGAUGCGGCGGUGCAUCUUGACCCUUACGUGCCUCACACUUCCUUCUCCUUUGUCUUCUUACGCUAAGUAUCUUUCUCUCUUUGCUAACGUACAUUUUUUGUUGUUUCCACACCGAACCUGCUUACGUCAUAUUUAUCUGUUUCGUAAAAUUUCUUGGCAUUAAAAAAGACAUCUACUUGACAAUGGUAAGUUCAAACAUCUACGUAAAAUGAUAGCAAAGAAAAAAAAACAUGAUUUCUUGAUUUCAUAAUAACUCCUUAGGUUAGUCCAGAGAUUUUGGGGUCUGUGGUUGUGUUUAUAUAAAAAAAAAGUUUUUUUACAAAUUUUGGGGUGCAAAAUUGUUUUGGGCUUACUCGUAUGUAAAUUUUUUUCAAAAACUUUAGAAGUCUAUUGCGAAUGUUUCACUUAUCAUGAUCCAUGACUGGCUCUGGAGACAUAUAAUAAAUUUUAUAAGCUUUACAAAGAUAAUUUGGCAUUUGAUAUGAAAUAUUUUUGAUUGAUAUAAAAGACUUUACUUAAUUUAGUUUUAUUUUGUGAUCAUGUGCAUGGAUUAAAGAUAUGAAAUAUUUGUUUUUAGAUAUUUUGAAUUGUACACUGGAGUUGUCAAAAAAGCACACUGGUAUAUAAUAUACUUAAAAAUUGUAGAACUAUGAUCUUAUACACAUAUAUAUGUACGUAUGUAUUUCUUUUUAAAAACAAAUGCUUGCUUCUCGAGUUAACCAAAAUAUACGUAAUUUUAUUUUCGUCCAAUUUGAAAAAAAUCAUAUAACCGUAGUUUUACGAGCCAGUAAAUACUAAAGUUCAGUAACACAACGGUCUGUGUACAUAAAUGAAUUCACAUGAUAUUAGGGGCUAAAACCGCUAAGAUGUUUGAUAAACAAAGGAACUGUCUCGGACCUUGUGGUCUGGUGAUAAGAAAACCGGCUCCGAAACACCAAUAUGUUUUAAGUUCGAUUUAUUUGAUCCGUGAAAUUAGAUCACAUUGUUCUGAACAUCCACAUAGAUAUGAACCUUUGUUUUUGGCCCAUUUGAAUAUCCGAAAAGAAAUUGACCAUAUAAAUCCGAGAUUUUCUAGAUUAAUCAAAGAAAAAAACAAAGGAACUGAUUUCCAUUCAUCUACCACACUGGAGUAGUGCCACUAGUAGACCAUUUAGUCCGAACACGAACACAAAAACCAUGUAUUAACAACAGUUAAGAAUCGUUUUGUGACCAAAGCUCGUCUAGUUUAAUGGAUAGUAACUUCAAAUUCAUUUUUCGUUCUUUGGUGGUAUGAUGUGUAGAAAUCUCCAAACCACAAAGUAUCUUUUUCCACGAAUGUCUUUCAGGAUUUCACAUAUAUCUUAAAUGAUGAAGCUUCUUACGAUAACUCGUUUAGUCUAUAAAUCGUUUUAGGCUAAACCUGGAUAAAAGAAAAUUUUUUGAAUUUCAGGCUUUAAAACACAGCGUGAAAUUGUUGAGGUUUUCCAUCAUAAGCUUUAGUAAUUAGUAAAUCAAGAGUACCGUACCCAAAACAAGUAGGAUAAUAAAUUAUUUAACAUAAAAAGGAAAACACAAAACAAACUGGAUGGUAGUAUUAUGUUUAGGAAAUAUGACGCGGUGAGUAAAAAAUUAGUAGCUUUUAGCCACACAUCUGUUGGUGUCGUUGCUUUACGCAACAUCAUGCAUCUCUUCUUCUACUGUUUCCUGAUUUGUUUAUAAAAGGUUCUUUUUUCUUAUUUAUGAUUAGCAACCAAAUGAUUUCAAUUAUUUCCUCAUUAUGUAUCUAAACAUUACAAAUAUGUUUAUAUACGUGUGUGUAUAUCUUCGUCACUGUAAAAUUGAAAUCGAUAUAAUUAGUUUGAUUAGGACCACUAUAAAAAUAUUGAUCUGUAUAUGACUAUCCAUGUGUGAGUGUAUCUAUUAAAUAGUUCUGUAAAGGAUGUGAGGGCCACUUCAAGUACAAGACAAUAAGGUUUGGAAUAGCCCAACGUGAUUAAGAGUAACUUCUUCCAAUCAUUUCAUUGAAUUAUUGUGCCUAAUCAAAACUUUAAUAACGAAAAUAACUUCGUAUUUUUUUAUAAAGCUUAAUGGUAGCAUUUAUUUGGUACAACUAAUACUUUUUCCUACCAAGAUAAAAAUUAAUAUUUGCGGCUGUAGAAAUAAAGAAUAGAAAACAAAAUAUACCGCAGAACCGCAAGUAAAUCAUUUGAUUGGGGUAUACCAGUGGCAAGUUGUUACACAUUGGUUACAUACAUGAGUUUAUAUAGUGGAAAAAAUAUUAGUAUAUGGAAGCAGCAAUCCCAAUCCCUAUGCAAAGUCAAAAAUGUUGCAUGAAAUUAGCAAAAUAUUCCGGUGAAGAAAAGAUGUGAUGGGUUUGGUGUAUGUAACAGACUUGCAUCCCACACAUUACCUUUCCUUAGCCCCAAAAUGAUGUUGAAUUAUAUCCACUUGAAAUUUAUUCUUAUUAUCUUUUUUUAUUCUUAUUAUCUUUAACCCACUAAACAAAAUUUUCUUUUUUUGCAAGAAAAUGUCUCCAAGUUUUCAAUAGAGAAAAUAGUACUUUUAUUAGUACAAUCCACACAUACUUUUUAACUUGAAUCAAUAUAAUAAUUACUCAACUAAUAUAAAUCACUAAAAUACAAGUUUCCAUUAAAUUGUGCAUAUAUUUUAUAAGUAUUAUAAGAAAAAAUUUGGUAAACAAACAAUAAGUAUUAUAAGUUCACCGUUUUAGCUUCUUUUUUUUUGCCAGGUCUUUUGUGGGACAGUGGCUUAGCCACUAUGCCUUGUACAUUCGACAUAUAUGGGUUAAAAACUCCAUUUUAAUUACGAGCAUUAACAAGUAUGAAGAUAAAAAGGUUUAUAGUUUUUCAAGUAUUUGCUUCUACUUUACCAAAACAAAAGUAUUUGCUUCUAACCUGGAGAUGUUAACUGUAAUAGUAAAACCUUCUUUCAUAAUGGUAGAGCUAUCAGGUUUGAAUCUCAUCAGCUACCGGAGAUAUUUAACAGUCGGUUCUUAUCUUGGUCCAAAAAUAUUAUAAAUUUCAGUCCAGAACUUUUUGAAUU
Long non-coding RNA from Brassica rapa (field mustard), 5530 nucleotides. RefSeq lists it as uncharacterized. Lineage: Eukaryota; Viridiplantae; Streptophyta; Magnoliopsida; Brassicales; Brassicaceae. The record is from RefSeq and is a predicted model, not a curated record.